Molecule: long non-coding RNA, 487 nt
Filed under: Ananas comosus (pineapple)
Lineage: Eukaryota; Viridiplantae; Streptophyta; Magnoliopsida; Poales; Bromeliaceae
Description: long non-coding RNA (ACOM_LNC031479)
Source: RNAcentral
UUUUUUUAAUGAAAAGAAAUAUAAAAAAAAUGAAAAUUCGGCAAAAGAUUCGGCUCUGAUACCACAAGUUGAAAUUUUAUUGGAAACUAAUAUCGUACCUUUUGCCAUGAUUUCGAUUUUUGUACCCGAUUUGUAGACGGUAAUUUUUGCUCGUGGUUCGUCCUCGUUCGCGAUCUGCAAGAAAACGGAACGUUUCGAGUCUAAUUCCCGUAUCCCCGUAAAUGGAGCCGUCACAAAAAAUUAGAUUAGGGUUAGACCGGACUCCUGUAUGUUAUACUUUUAUAUAUAACUUAAUGUAAGGAUGUUAAAUCACGUCCGUCCAUUAAGGAUGUAUCCAGAUACAUCCUAACCGUAAGAUCUAUCGUAUCUUUAUAGAUUGACUUAAAUAGAUUGACCAUAUCUUUAUGGAUCGCCUUGAAUAUAUCACGUGGGCCACAUCCAACAAGGUUCACAUACCAGCUCAGACCGAAUAUUGUGUUUCCCAUAC